This 326-nucleotide ribosomal RNA is filed under the name Klebsiella pneumoniae. RNAcentral describes it as "bacterial LSU rRNA". It matches the Rfam family "Bacterial large subunit ribosomal RNA", at positions 1001 to 1326 of the family's 2925-position model. Lineage: Bacteria; Pseudomonadati; Pseudomonadota; Gammaproteobacteria; Enterobacterales; Enterobacteriaceae. The record is from RNAcentral.
ACGUCCGUCGUGAAGAGGGAAACAACCCAGACCGCCAGCUAAGGUCCCAAAGUCAUGGUUAAGUGGGAAACGAUGUGGGAAGGCACAGACAGCCAGGAUGUUGGCUUAGAAGCAGCCAUCAUUUAAAGAAAGCGUAAUAGCUCACUGGUCGAGUCGGCCUGCGCGGAAGAUGUAACGGGGCUAAACCAUGCACCGAAGCUGCGGCAGCGACACUAUGUGUUGUUGGGUAGGGGAGCGUUCUGUAAGCCUGCGAAGGUGACCUGUGAGGGUUGCUGGAGGUAUCAGAAGUGCGAAUGCUGACAUAAGUAACGAUAAAGCGGGUGAAA